CAUUAAACAACAUGAUGCGCAACUCAGGCAUUUUUGGUCGAAGAUCGUAUCCGAUAGCACGCUCCAAUGCACAUACUUGACGAGACGAAAACGAGCGGAUGUGUGCUGCUCUCAAGGCAUAGCACUAAUGGUGUUCGUUCCUGCUUUGACAGUUGUUGUCGAUUUUAAUGAUAUAUUGGAAAAUUGAAGGUAAAAAGAAAUCGGAAAAAAGUAAGAUGUAAAAGUUGUGGGAAAACCUGUCUAAGCAUUGUGGGACUCCUGCAGCACAAGAGGCAAUAGCAAAAAUAGAAAGUAUAUCAAUCAAGACAACUGUAGCAGAAGGGGAGAUAUCAGAAGUCUGGCGACAUAUCAGUGACAGUGUGA
This is a non-coding RNA of Styela clava, 363 nucleotides long. The record is from RefSeq and is a predicted model, not a curated record. Lineage: Eukaryota; Metazoa; Chordata; Ascidiacea; Stolidobranchia; Styelidae.